AUUUGAGUAUAUCCCUACGUGGACAUGGCUGAUUAUAAUAAUGUUUGUGUUACUCUACAUGUAUGGUACAAAAGGACACGAUGUCUUAUCAAAAUUAGGCAUACCCGGUCCCAAACCAAGCUUAUUUUUUUGGAAAUAUCUUACAAUUUGGAAAGGGAACUGAUUUGCUACUUGGGGAAUGGAAAAAACAAUUUGGCGCAGUGUUUGGGUAAGUUUAU
Molecule: long non-coding RNA, 218 nt
Organism: Patella vulgata (common limpet)
Lineage: Eukaryota; Metazoa; Mollusca; Gastropoda; Patellidae
Exons: 3
Source: RefSeq, a predicted model, not a curated record